Molecule: ribosomal RNA, 427 nt
Filed under: uncultured bacterium
Lineage: Bacteria
Description: partial 16S ribosomal RNA
Rfam family: Bacterial small subunit ribosomal RNA
Source: RNAcentral
UAGGGAAUCUUCGGCAAUGGACGAAAGUCUGACCGAGCAACGCCGCGUGAGUGAAGAAGGUUUUCGGAUCGUAAAACUCUGUUGUUAGAGAAGAACAAGGACGUUAGUAACUGAACGUCCCCUGACGGUAUCUAACCAGAAAGCCACGGCUAACUACGUGCCAGCAGCCGCGGUAAUACGUAGGUGGCAAGCGUUGUCCGGAUUUAUUGGGCGUAAAGCGAGCGCAGGCGGUUUCUUAAGUCUGAUGUGAAAGCCCCCGGCUCAACCGGGGAGGGUCAUUGGAAACUGGGAGACUUGAGUGCAGAAGAGGAGAGUGGAAUUCCAUGUGUAGCGGUGAAAUGCGUAGAUAUAUGGAGGAACACCAGCGGCGAAGGCGGCUCUCUGGUCUGUAACUGACGCUGAGGCUCGAAAGCGUGGGGAGCAAACA